RNAcentral lists this ribosomal RNA (424 nucleotides) under Klebsiella pneumoniae. RNAcentral's name for it is "partial 23S ribosomal RNA". It matches the Rfam family "Bacterial large subunit ribosomal RNA", at positions 1405 to 1813 of the family's 2925-position model. Lineage: Bacteria; Pseudomonadati; Pseudomonadota; Gammaproteobacteria; Enterobacterales; Enterobacteriaceae. The record is from RNAcentral.
AAAGGCGUAGUCGAUGGGAAAAUGGUUAAUAUUCCAUUACUUCUGUGUAAUGCGAUGAGAGGACGGAGAAGGCUAAAUCAGCCUGGCGUUGGUUGUCCAGGUGAAAGGAUGUAGGCAUGUAUCUUAGGCAAAUCCGGGGUACUCUAUGCUGAGAUCUGAUAGCAAGCUGUACUUGUACAGCGAAGUGGUUGAUGCCAUGCUUCCAGGAAAAGUCUCUAAGCUUCAGUUACACAGGAAUCGUACCCGAAACCGACACAGGUGGUCAGGUCGAGUAGACCAAGGCGCUUGAGAGAACUCUGCUGAAGGAACUAGGCAAAAUGGUACCGUAACUUCGGGAGAAGGUACGCUGUUGUUGGUGAUGGAACUCGCUUCCUGAGCUGACGACAGCCGCAGAAACCAGGCCGCUGCAACUGUUUAUUAAAAA